Long non-coding RNA from Zea mays, 371 nucleotides. RefSeq lists it as uncharacterized. Lineage: Eukaryota; Viridiplantae; Streptophyta; Magnoliopsida; Poales; Poaceae. The record is from RefSeq and is a predicted model, not a curated record. The transcript is spliced from 3 exons.
UCUAAAACAUCGUGGUCUUUAUUUUCAGAUCAAGAUUCAGUGCGUUUGUUGGCUGUUGAAGGUUGUGCUGCUCUUGGUAAAUUGUUGGAGCCACAAGAUUAUGUAGCUCACAUUCUUCCGGUCAUUGUCAAUUUCUACCAGUAUCUGACCGAGAACAAUUAUUUCGUGAUGAUUGGGGUAAUUGGGCUGCCCGGUGUAGGCAAGUCAACCAUCAUGAACGAGCUUUAUUAAUAUGAUGCAAGCUACCUGUGGUAACAAAAGAGAUGCCAAGUGCGCUGAGGAUGCAGAGGCCAGAACAUACAUACAGUUCCCAUUUUCUGAACACAGAAACCAAUGGCACCGUCGAAUUCAGAAAGAGCAGAAAGCAAGUU